Molecule: long non-coding RNA, 381 nt
Organism: Neodiprion virginianus
Lineage: Eukaryota; Metazoa; Arthropoda; Insecta; Hymenoptera; Diprionidae
Exons: 3
Source: RefSeq, a predicted model, not a curated record
UGAAUACUUGAACAGUUCCUGAUUUGUUUGUUCAGUAUUGCUCCUCCUCCCGUCAUCGCCGUGUACUAAUUACUUUCAGGCGAUAUCGAUGAAUGCAGCAUUCACGGAUCUUGCGAUCAAAGAUCUAUAAAUCAUCUUGCGCGCAAUGACGAAAUAGCCCUACUCGGUAGCGGUUUUCGAGAAAAAAUGUCACUGGAGCGACUGAAGAACUAAGAGCGUUCAAUCUUGCAAUAAAUUCACGGGAAAUGAACAAGCUAUUGUUGCAAUAGAAAAUGAAUCCAUCUACGGGAUACACAUUUAUCACUCAACUCUGAGACCCGAUAUUCCAAAUCCCUGCAUCCACGGAUUCUGUUCACACAUAUGUUUGUUGGCGCCGAAUUC